UACGGAGGGGGCUAGCGUUGUUCGGAAUUACUGGGCGUAAAGCGCACGUAGGCGGCUUGUCGCGUCGGAUGUGAAAGCCCGGGGCUUAACUCCGGGUCUGCAUUCGAUACGGGCAGGCUAGAGUUCGGUAGGGGAGAUCGGAAUCCUGGUGUAGCGGUGAAAUGCGCAGAUAUCAGGAGGAACACCGGUGGCGAAGGCGGAUCUCUGGGCCGAUACUGACGCUGAGGAGCGAAAGCGUGGGGAGCGAACAGG
This 252-nucleotide ribosomal RNA is filed under the name uncultured bacterium. RNAcentral describes it as "partial 16S ribosomal RNA". It matches the Rfam family "Bacterial small subunit ribosomal RNA", at positions 524 to 776 of the family's 1533-position model. The record is from RNAcentral.